UGGGGAAUAUUGCACAAUGGGCGCAAGCCUGAUGCAGCCAUGCCGCGUGUAUGAAGAAGGCCUUCGGGUUGUAAAGUACUUUCAGCGGGGAGGAAGGUGUUGAGGUUAAUAACCUCAGCAAUUGACGUUACCCGCAGAAGAAGCACCGGCUAACUCCGUGCCAGCAGCCGCGGUAAUACGGAGGGUGCAAGCGUUAAUCGGAAUUACUGGGCGUAAAGCGCACGCAGGCGGUCUGUCAAGGCGGAUGUGAAAUCCCCGGGCUCAACCUGGGAACUGCAUUCGAAACUGGCAGGCUAGAGUCUUGUAGAGGGGGGUAGAAUUCCAGGUGUAGCGGUGAAAUGCGUAGAGAUCUGGAGGAAUACCGGUGGCGAAGGCGGCCCCCUGGACAAAGACUGACGCUCAGGUGCGAAAGCGUGGGGAGCAAACA
Molecule: ribosomal RNA, 427 nt
Filed under: uncultured bacterium
Lineage: Bacteria
Description: partial 16S ribosomal RNA
Rfam family: Bacterial small subunit ribosomal RNA
Source: RNAcentral